UGUUUACUAAAAACACGGUCUCCACAAAGUCAUAAAACCAUGUAUUGGGGCUGACGCCUGCACAGUGCUGGAAGGUCAAGGAAGUUGGUGACCUGAUGACAGGGGAGUCGACGACGAUUGCUUGUUGACCCCUGUGAAUUGCAUGAAAGUAGGGUA
RNAcentral lists this ribosomal RNA (156 nucleotides) under Olea europaea subsp. europaea. RNAcentral describes it as "LSU_rRNA_bacteria". The record is from RNAcentral. Lineage: Eukaryota; Viridiplantae; Streptophyta; Magnoliopsida; Lamiales; Oleaceae.